RNAcentral lists this unclassified non-coding RNA (214 nucleotides) under air metagenome. RNAcentral's name for it is "partial contains small subunit ribosomal RNA, internal transcribed spacer 1, and 5.8S ribosomal RNA". The stretch from base 1 to 46 matches the Rfam family "Eukaryotic small subunit ribosomal RNA", at positions 1786 to 1831 of the family's 1831-position model. The record is from RNAcentral.
AAGUCGUAACAAGGUUUCCGUAGGUGAACCUGCGGAAGGAUCAUUAUCAAAACAGCGGACUUCGGUCCUUGCUGCACCCUUGUCUUUUGCGUACCGUAUGUUUCCUCGGCGGGCUUGCCUGCCGGUUGGACAUUAUCACACCUUUUUGUAGUUGCAAUCAGCGUCAGAAAACAAACAAUAAUUACAACUUUCAACAACGGAUCUCUUGGUUCUG